CAUUUAGUAAGCCAAAGCAUUUAUUUCAAGUCUUGCUGUAAUACACACUACUGACUCAUCAUGUCAGUGAACUGAAACAUAUAUUGGGAAUUACAAUAUUUGGAGUUAAGGGUCAGAAAAAAAAAUCACACAAAUCCACAGGGCUGGGAGCAAAGAUCCUCCAGCUCCCUUUACUGAGGGCUUGCCUUACUUACAGCACUGCAACUGCAUUUCUCCCGUCUGCAUACUUAAUCCACCUCUCCAAGAGGUGGUAACUAUGUAGAUGGGAGAAGCUCUCCUGCCAACAUAUCACUGUCCACAUAAGGGGUUAGGUCAGUAUAACUAUGUCACUGAAAAUCCACAGCCCUAGCAAUUUAGUUAUCCUGAUACAGAUCUGUAGCGCAGGCCGGCCCAUAGCCAGCGCAGCGAUGGGUGCACUACAAACGCAGAGAAGGGGGCAGCUCACGCUCAAUCUUUCAUAUAAGAUGAUGGAAGGAAAUGAGGACUCUAUUGAAGACCAUCUCACUGCUUAUGCAAUUCAGCUUAGUAUUCAAGAAUCAGUUGAAGCCAGUCAACCACCAACUUCCCAUUACCAUGACAGAUUUGUACCACCCAGUGAUCAAAAUAGGAAACUUAUAGCAGCCAUAAGACAAGGCCAAGUAUUUGAUCUUCAGAGCUAUGUGAAACAUAAAUAUGCUUUGGAUGAAGCUGAUGAAAGAGGCUGGUUCCCACUUCAUGAGGCUGCAGCUCAGCCAAUUCAGCAAAUACUUGAAAUCAUUCUGGAUGCAUCUUAUAAAUCAAUGUGGGAAUACAAAACAUGCGAUGGAGAAACACCGUUAACUUUGGCAGCAAAAGCUGGUUUUGUGGAAAAUGUAAGAAAAUUAUUGGAAAAGGGUGUUUGGCCUAAUACCACAAACAAUAAAGGAGAAACUCCUCUUCUCAUUGCUGUGAGACGGGGCUCUUACGAAAUGGUAUUGGCUCUGAUUAAAUACAACUGUCAUAUCCACCAGCCAUGUGUAAAACGCUGGUCAGCAAUGCAUGAAGCUGCAAAACAAGGCUGCAAAGAGAUUAUUUCUCUGCUUCUGAAGAAUGGAGGAAAUGUGCACCUGAAAGAUGGUUAUGGGGUAACGCCAUUAGGAAUUGCUGCUGAAUAUGGACACUGUGAUGUGCUGGAGCAUCUUAUUCAUAAAGGUGGUGAUGUUCAUGCUUUAGCAGAUGAUGGUGCAUCAGUACUGUUUGAAGCAGCUGGAGGAGGUAAUCCAGACUGUGUAGCUCUUCUUUUGGAAUAUGGAGGAAGUGGUAAUGUGCCUAAUAGGGCAGGACAGCUUCCUAUACACAGAGCAGCCUAUGAAGGACAUUAUUUGUCACUGAAAUAUCUAAUUCCAGUUACAUCCAAGACUGCAAUCCAGAGAAGUGGGUUAAGCCCCAUUCACUCAGCAGCAGAUGGCCAGAAUGUGCAGUGUCUAGAGCUCCUCAUUGAAAAUGAUUUUGAUGUCAAUACUCUCCUGGCUGAACACAUUUCUGAAAACUACGAUGAUGAAAGGAAAACGGCACUCUAUUUUGCUGUUUCUAACAAUGACAUUCUCUGCACAGAAGUGUUACUCAAAGCUGGUGCAGACCCAAACAAGGAUCCUCUAAAUUGUCUUCUUGUAGCAGUGAGAGCUGGUAACCAUGAAAUUGUACGAUUGCUUCUGUCCUAUGGAGCAAAUGUCAAUUGCUACUUCAUGCUCGUGAAUGACACCCAUUUCCCCAGUGCCAUUCAGUAUGCUUUGAAUGAUGAGGUAAUGCUAAGGCUGUUGUUGAAUCAUGGAUAUAAUGCAGAGAGGUGUUUUGAUUGCAUGCAUGACGACAUCUUUGGAAGUUCUUUUGUGUGGUCACUUCCAGAAGAGGAGGUAUUACCAGGAUGGACAUCUUGUGUAAUAAAAGAUACUCCAUUCUGUGCCUUUAUUACAGUUCCUUGGUUGAAACAUUUAGUUGGACAUGUGAUUCGCAUUUUGAUAGACUAUAUGGAUUAUGUUCCUUUGUGCUCAAAACUAAAGUGUGUCCUAGAAGCACAGAAAGAAUGGCCAGAGAUACAUCAGAUAUUAGAGAAUCCUCGCCCAUUAAAACAUUUGUGCCGCCUGAAAAUACGUAAACUGAUGGGACUAAGAAGACUAUGGAGACAAGCACCAAUGGCGAAGCUUCCUCUUCCACCAGUUCUAAAGGACUAUAUCCUAUAUAAAGAAUAUGAUCUUUAUGGAAAGGGACUAAAUUUAGCUUAGAUUUAAAACAGUCAUUUAAAACUUGUAAAUUAAUUCUUUAGAAUUUUUUUGCUAGAUUGAGAAUUAUUGAAUAUUGUUAUAUGUACUCAAAACAUUUGAUAUUUGCUAUAAAUAGGCUUUUUAUGGGAACCCUUUUAAAAAAAGUGGUCUGUAAAACUCAAUUUGUUUUUUCUGUUUUUACUUAACAUUGUGUCUUGAUAUUCUAAGAGCAUGGAGAAGGAGAUGAUAGCCAUUGUGCAACCCAAAACCUCCAGGAUUGGCUUUUAACCCCCACAGCUGGAACUCUCCGAUCUUGUCUGCUAUGCUUCCACCAUCUCUUCCAAGCCCUGCCUUCGUGGACACGACUUCCAUGAAUCCUAUAAAUACUUCCACUCAGGAAAAUUGUAUCAGAAAAAGUGGACCUGACCAAGACACGUUCCAACCAUAAUGAUUCAAUCAUUUGCUUCCCUGUUUCCAUUCAUUAUCUGCAGUUUUUUAGGCUGCACUAAUUGAGUCAGGAACCAUGUCAUUUUACAUAUUUGAAAGCACCUAAUGCAUUUUCUACACUAUAUGUUUAAAAAUAAUAAUGAUCACUGUUCUAAAUGAUUUCUCCCUCUCCUUUUGCACUGAAAGCUCUUCUAAAGACUCCAGACUAUAUUACCAGGACAAAUAGUAGAUAAAGCAAAUAGAAGUUGCCACAGAUCCACAGGACCUGUGCUUUGUCCUGACAUGCAAACAAUCCUUAGGAGAUAUGCUUUGAGUGUAUCAGACUUCCACAGGGGUUACGCUCUUCCACAAGGGUGAGGCAAGUGGCCUCAAUGCCUCUGAGACUAAGCCUCCAGCUCCAGCACUCCUGUUUCAUCCCACGAGGUCUGCCCACUGAGUCCAACUGAGCUAGAUGCCUGUUCAGAGACUAUUCCUGCUUCAGGAAUCAAUGCACCUCAGUAAGUAUUUGC
Gopherus evgoodei (Goodes thornscrub tortoise) is the source of this 3175-nucleotide RNA transcript. It is a transcript of the gene named ankyrin repeat and SOCS box containing 15, with no coding region annotated. The transcript has 11 exons. The record is from RefSeq and is a predicted model, not a curated record. NCBI's taxonomy places the organism in Eukaryota, Metazoa, Chordata, Testudines, Testudinidae.